AGUAAUGUCUGGGAAACUGCCUGAUGGAGGGGGGUAACUACUGGAAACGGUAGCUAAUACCGCAUAAUGUCGCAAGACCAAAGUGGGGGACCUUCGGGGCCUCAUGCCAUAAGAUGUGCCCAGAUGGGAUUAGCUAGUAGGUGGGGUAACGGCUCACCUAGGCGACGAUCCCUAGCUGGUCUGAGAGGAUGACCAGCCACACUGGAACUGAGACACGGUCCAG
This 223-nucleotide ribosomal RNA is filed under the name uncultured bacterium. RNAcentral describes it as "partial 16S ribosomal RNA". It matches the Rfam family "Bacterial small subunit ribosomal RNA", at positions 109 to 334 of the family's 1533-position model. The record is from RNAcentral.